UCUCUUCAUAAUUUGCUUAUAUUGACGGCUUCGCUAAUUAAGCCCCAAAAUCAGUCAAGCGGCAGAAAGCUUUCCCACAAAAUCUCAAACCCUAGAAAACCCACCUAGUGUUUCUUCUCUCAAAGCUUUGGGCAAACCCAAGCCCAAGCUCUCAACCAAACAUGAAGACGGUCAUAGGUGAGGUCCUCUCGUCAAAGCCAAUCUCUCUCAAGAAGGCCACCUCGACCCUCUCCACCUUCGUCUCCACCGAGAACGGCGCGUCGCCGGCCGUCUGUGCCUACCUCCGACGCGCCCUUGCCUCGUUCAAGGAGUUGAGGCAGCACGGGAAGGAGCUCGGAGGUCCAAGAUACGAGCAGAGGCACUACCGGCCCAAAUCGGAGACUCUCAGCGAUGUGAGUCACAAGCAAAAAAGAGAUGAGCCGGAGAGUAAUAUUGCCAGCCGAAACCCGAUAGAAAGGGACAAAAAAACCACCCGGAUCGUCGUUCCGGGUCAGGAAACGGGUCACAGGGUUGGAGACGAGGGUAAGAGAGAGAAGCAUAGGAAGAAUAAGCAGAAGGGCGUAUUUGGUAAAUUUGGGGAUAAUGGAGGUGAAGUUGGGGAGAGUAGAGGCUCUGAAAUUAAAGUGAAAAUCGAGCCUGAAGUGAAUCCGGGUCGAAGAGAUGAGGGCAAUGUGGGAAUUGAGAGCGAGAGAAAGAAGCACAAAAAGAAGAAGAUUAUAGCCGAAGAGAUUAAAGAAGAAAGUAAAGAGUUAGGUUUAGCCGAUUCGUAUUCGGUGGAACCACAGAGUAAUAAAAGGAAGAAGAAGAAGAAGGAGAUAAACGAUGGUAGUGAUUUUAAGAAUAAUGGGAUUAAAGCUGAGGACAGAGAUGAUAGGGGUGAAAUGGGAAUUGAAAAAGUAAAGGAGGAGAGCAAGAAGAGGAAGAAUAAGGAGGUUGAGGAGAAAGCAGAGGAUGGUUCGGAGGAGCAGAGGGGUAAGAAGAAGAAGAGGAGGAGAAAUGAAUGAGAUAGAUUUGAGUAUUAGGUGGUUUAGCAAUUUUGCUGGCGUUGUAUUUGGAAACUGGUGGAGAUUUUGUUUCAAAGCAAUCCAUUGGCUCGGCCUGGCAUAAGGGUUUGAAGUAUACAUGUUGGCUGCCUAUGGUAUCUCCCCCAAGACUUAGAGCUACCUUGACAUUUGAAUGGUGGCCUGGUGGGCUUUGAUGGAGGAAACGUGAGAAGGGGUGAGGUUUUCUGUGUCC
Molecule: RNA transcript, 1236 nt
Organism: Alnus glutinosa
Lineage: Eukaryota; Viridiplantae; Streptophyta; Magnoliopsida; Fagales; Betulaceae
Gene name: vicilin-like seed storage protein At2g18540
Exons: 2
Source: RefSeq, a predicted model, not a curated record